This 311-nucleotide ribosomal RNA is filed under the name uncultured eukaryote. RNAcentral describes it as "partial 18S ribosomal RNA". It matches the Rfam family "Eukaryotic small subunit ribosomal RNA", at positions 1470 to 1796 of the family's 1831-position model. The record is from RNAcentral.
CCCCUAGACGUUCUGGGCUGCACGCGCGCUACAAUAAUACGCACAGCGAGUAUCACCGAGCUCGAAAGGGCAAGGUAAACAAUAGAAAAGGUACUGGAAUGGUUAUAGAUCCUUGUAAUUAUUGAUCUUCAACGAGGAAUUCCUAGUAAGUAUGUGUCAUCAUCACGCACUGAUUACGUCCCUGCCCUUUGUACACACCGCCCGUCGCUCCUACCGAUUGGGUGAGCCGAUGAAACUCUCGGAUGUAGGCUAUUCAUAGCCCGCAGAAGAGAUUUGAAUCGUAGCGCUUAGAGGAAGGAGAAGUCGUAACA